Molecule: ribosomal RNA, 623 nt
Filed under: uncultured bacterium
Lineage: Bacteria
Description: bacterial SSU rRNA
Rfam family: Bacterial small subunit ribosomal RNA
Source: RNAcentral
CCUACGGGAGGCAGCAGUGGGGAAUUUUGGACAAUGGGCGCAAGCCUGAUCCAGCAAUGCCGCGUGAGUGAAGAAGGCCUUCGGGUUGUAAAGCUCUUUUGUCAGGGAAGAAAAGGCUACGGAUAAUACCUGUGGCUCAUGACGGUACCUGAAGAAUAAGCACCGGCUAACUACGUGCCAGCAGCCGCGGUAAUACGUAGGGUGCAAGCGUUAAUCGGAAUUACUGGGCGUAAAGCGUGCGCAGGCGGUUUUGUAAGACUGUCGUGAAAUCCCCGGGCUCAACCUGGGAAUGGCGAUGGUGACUGCAAGGCUAGAGUUUGGCAGAGGGGGGUAGAAUUCCACGUGUAGCAGUGAAAUGCGUAGAUAUGUGGAGGAACACCGAUGGCGAAGGCAGCCCCCUGGGUCAAAACUGACGCUCAUGCACGAAAGCGUGGGGAGCAAACAGGAUUAGAUACCCUGGUAGUCCACGCCCUAAACGAUGUCUACUAGUUGUCGGGUCUUAAUUGACUUGGUAACGCAGCUAACGCGUGAAGUAGACCGCCUGGGGAGUACGGUCGCAAGAUUAAAACGUCAAANAGAGUAGACGCGUGAGACGAGACGACGGACGACGACGAGGGAGGAGG